Nicotiana attenuata is the source of this 286-nucleotide long non-coding RNA. RefSeq lists it as uncharacterized. The transcript has 4 exons. The record is from RefSeq and is a predicted model, not a curated record. Lineage: Eukaryota; Viridiplantae; Streptophyta; Magnoliopsida; Solanales; Solanaceae.
UGAGAAAGAACACAGCGAAGUUAUCAAUUUGCUUCGACUGCCGGCUGCAAGAGUAUUAUUAUUUUAGUCGUGAUAAUGGAGCCUCGUGCAGAUACUAACCUUGAUACAGACAUCUGGAGUCUGAAUGAUCAAGAUAGCAAUGCAAUUAUAUUGCCAGACAAGAAAAAGAAGAAGAAGACAGAAAAGGAACAGGUAUCGAAAAAGCUUAAAACGAAGAAUAACAUUAAGUUAAGUCAAUCUCAAAAAAAAAAGCUGAAGAAACUCGAGGUAAAUAAGGAGAAAUCAA